This 1293-nucleotide long non-coding RNA is filed under the name Anolis carolinensis (green anole). RNAcentral's name for it is "lncRNA (ENSACAG00000040424.1)". The record is from RNAcentral. Lineage: Eukaryota; Metazoa; Chordata; Lepidosauria; Squamata; Anolidae.
GUCAAUUUGCACCUGGCUAGUUUCAGCAUCAUCAACAUCAUUCCCUGCUGUGGGAAAAGCUCUCUGUUCCUCAUCUUCUACAACAGGGACAUUCUGAACCUGAUUUUGAACCUGAAUCCCAUAAUCCCCAUCAGAGUCAAUCUGAGGUUCCAGUUGAGUCUCAACAGCACUCCAUUCUAGAUAUAACUAGACCAUGGACCACUAGAAACACCCAAUGUUUCCAUUUUAGUGGAAGAAUCAGAAACUGGAAAACAUCCAAUAAAUUCCAUAGAAGAGAUGGAAGACAUGUUUUGGGAUAUCGGGCAUAAGAAUUCUGUGUGCUGCUGGAGAAUGGAGAGAUCGGAAAGUGAGUUCAGACUAGGGGAUGAGUUCAAAUGUUUUGAGAACUGCUCCUCUAAUUAUAGUGUUGAUGGGAAUUUAGUGGUAUAAUCAAGAAAUCCAGCCAAAUGUUCUAACCUUUCUUUCUCUUUCUCUCUCUCUCUCUCUUAAUUAUCAUGCCACUUUUCUGUUAGUGGUCUGAUUCUUGUAGGAGCAAAAACCUACUCUGUCAUUACAAAACAUUAUUGUAGGAGUUGCACACCAAACCAAGAAGAAGAUACAACAAGCCUGUAAUUAUCUAUGCUCUCUUUCCAGCUAGGCUCUCUGGGCCUAUGUCCUCCCCAUUCCCAGCAUGGCUCCAUUAAAUGAAGUCAUAAUCAUACAUCACACACUGUUUUUUUAAGAUGGUUCCUUAGGCUGGGCACAAAAUUUGGAAGCUGGAAAACUGCUGUCAAGUUAAACAUGUAUCUGUGAUGGCAGAGCUGGAAAACAAUACUUUUUUGAACUACAAUCCUCAUAAUGUUUCAGCUGGCAUAAUCACUGUGUUGUAUGAUUUCAACUAACUGCUAAACUGGGAGUUUAGCAGCCAACUGCUAAACUGUGGCUGGAUUGCUUGAUUAUACCACUAAAUUCCCAUCAAAACUAUAAUUAGAGGAGCAGUUCUCAAAACAUUUGAACUCAUCCCCUAGUCUGAACUCACUUUCCGAUCUCUCCAUUCUCCAGUAGCAUUUCACUACUCCAAAAACCAGAUCAAGACACGAACUGAAUUUGAAAGUUUUAUUUUAACACAGGUUUUAUUCUUUCUGGCCAGAAAGGUUGUCAAUAUAAAGUCUGUGCUCUAAAAAGAACUGAUCACCUUAAUUAACUGCAACAUUCACACUGGCUUUCCAACUGACAAAGAGUUCUUCUCACAACCUGGACUUUCCACAGAUAUAUAUAAACCUUCCUUGCUUAGUUUCUCUAUACCUCACAACC